Molecule: long non-coding RNA, 1062 nt
Organism: Alosa sapidissima (American shad)
Lineage: Eukaryota; Metazoa; Chordata; Actinopteri; Clupeiformes; Clupeidae
Exons: 3
Source: RefSeq, a predicted model, not a curated record
AUAGACAAUAACACAAGGCAAAAUUAUUAUAUUACUGUAAAUGUAGGAGCCAUUCAUUUAGUUUGGUUUAUUAUAAGAGUUCUAAAUAUAUUGUUAUUAAUUUAAGUUGAAAUUAUAUAAUUAUUUAAAUUAAUUAUCCUGAAUUUGUUAGUGUGCAUUCACCACUGCAUGGGUGUCCCUCCAUAGGAUGCGGGAGUAUUACCUAUUUAAGGUGGUGCAGUGAUGCAGGCCAGACAGUGUAGCGGGUGUACGCGGAAACAGUCAUUGACCGUGUCACCGGGUCAACGUGUCAAUGGGGCGCGUCUUGCCAUGACUUGGAAUAAAGAACUAUAAUCUACAAAGGACUCUCUUUAAGUUUAUUUUGCAGUAUUAUGUUUGUUUAAUUUUGUUAAUAAAUCCACUCAUCAAGAGGAAAGAAAUAACUAACUUCAUCUUCAUUUAAACACAUGCGUCAGACUACAGCACCAGCUACUCAAGGAAGUGAACAAAGAUGGGGAAAGUUUAAUGGACUUAGAAAACACAGGAAACCCAAAAACUUAACCUGUUUUUAUCACUACAAUAAGUCAAUUGACUACGCUAUGGAUUUUACAAUGGAUUAUUUCCUAAUGGAUUACUUUGUGGACUAUUGAAUGAACCCGAGAAGGCCGACGCUUGGCGCAGGACGCAGCAAACAAAGGCGUCUCGGCAGAGUAAGCGCCGCCUUCAUUAGCGAGGUUGAUGGAAUACCCCCCAGGUCGGUUGUGGCGUCUCUCAUUCUACACAACACAACGCAGAGAACGUGGUAGAGGGAAAACUACCUUUGUUACACCUGCUUCUAGAAGCUUCAGAGUUCAGUGAAUGAAGACUGGAUGGCAUGAUUAGGAUGCGGGAGUAUUACCUAUUUAAGGUGGUGCAGUGACGCAGGCCAGACGGUGUAGCGGGUGUACGCGGAAACAGUCAUUGACCGUGUCACCGGGUCAACGUGUCAAUGGGGCGCGUCUUGCCAUGACUUGGAACAAAGAACUAUAAUCUACAAAGGACUCUCUUUCAGUUUAUUUUGCAGUAUUAUGUUUGUUUAAUUUU